AUUGAACGCUGGCGGCAGGCUUAACACAUGCAAGUCGAGCGGUAGCACAGGGGAGCUUGCUCCCUGGGUGACGAGCGGCGGACGGGUGAGUAAUGUCUGGGAAACUGCCUGAUGGAGGGGGAUAACUACUGGAAACGGUAGCUAAUACCGCAUAACGUCGCAAGACCAAAGAGGGGGACCUUCGGGCCUCUUGCCAUCAGAUGUGCCCAGAUGGGAUUAGCUAGUAGGUGGGGUAAUGGCUCACCUAGGCGACGAUCCCUAGCUGGUCUGAGAGGAUGACCAGCCACACUGGAACUGAGACACGGUCCAGACUCCUACGGGAGGCAGCAGUGGGGAAUAUUGCACAAUGGGCGCAAGCCUGAUGCAGCCAUGCCGCGUGUGUGAAGAAGGCCUUCGGGUUGGAAAGCACUUUCAGCGAGGAGGAAGGUGGUGAACUUAAUACGUUCAUCAAUUGACGUUACUCCCAUAAGAAGCACCGGCUAACUCCGUGCCAGCAGCCGCGGGAAUACUGAGGGGGCCAGCGUUAAUCGGAAUUACUGGGCGUAAGCGCACGCAGGCGGUUUGUUAGUCAGAUGUGAAAUCCCCGGGCUCAACCUGGGAACUGCAUUUGAAACUGGCAAGCUAGAGUCUCGUAGAGGGGGGUAGAAUUCCAGGUGUAGCGGUGAAAUGCGUAGAGAUCUGGAGGAAUACCGGUGGCGAAGGCGGCCCCCUGGACGAAGACUGACGCUCAGGUGCGAAAGCGUGGGGAGCAAACAGGAUUAGAUACCCUGGUAGUCCACGCUGUAAACGAUGUCGAUUUGGAGGUUGUGCCCUUGAGGCGUGGCUUCCGGAGCUAACGCGUUAAAUCGACCGCCUGGGGAGUACGGCCGCAAGGUUAAAACUCAAAUGAAUUGACGGGGGCCCGCACAAGCGGUGGAGCAUGUGGUUUAAUUCGAUGCAACGCGAAGAACCUUACCUACUCUUGACAUCCAGAGAACUUAGCAGAGAUGCUUUGGUGCCUUCGGGAACUCUGAGACAGGUGCUGCAUGGCUGUCGUCAGCUCGUGUUGUGAAAUGUUGGGUUAAGUCCCGCAACGAGCGCAACCCUUAUCCUUUGUUGCCAGCGGUUCGGCCGGGAACUCAAAGGAGACUGCCAGUGAUAAACUGGAGGAAGGUGGGGAUGACGUCAAGUCAUCAUGGCCCUUACGAGUAGGGCUACACACGUGCUACAAUGGCAUAUACAAAGAGAAGCGACCUCGCGAGAGCAAGCGGACCUCAUAAAGUAUGUCGUAGUCCGGAUUGGAGUCUGCAACUCGACUCCAUGAAGUCGGAAUCGCUAGUAAUCGUAGAUCAGAAUGCUACGGUGAAUACGUUCCCGGGCCU
RNAcentral lists this ribosomal RNA (1361 nucleotides) under uncultured bacterium. RNAcentral describes it as "bacterial SSU rRNA". It matches the Rfam family "Bacterial small subunit ribosomal RNA", at positions 28 to 1381 of the family's 1533-position model. The record is from RNAcentral.